AUACCCCACUAUGCCUGACCGUAAACUUUACUUACACCUCAAUCGUCAGGGAACUACGAGCAAAGCUUAAAACCCAAAGGACUUGACGGUACCCCAUAUCCCCCUAGAGGAGCCUGUCCUAUAAUCGAUAAUCCCCGUUUAACCUCACCACAUCUAGCCCAUCAGUCUGUAUACUUCCGUCACAGGCCUACCACAUGAGUGAUACUCAGUUAGCCCAAUGUCCCCACAUAAAGGUGUUUACAUCGACAAUACGUCAGGUCAAAGUGCAGCAAACGAUGUGGGAUGAGAUUGGCUACACUUUUUAUCUUAAAAGAAACGGAAAACAAUAAUGAAACUUUGUCAGAAGGUGGAUUUAGCAGUAAAAGUAAAAUAUAAAAUUUCUUUUAACUCGGCACUGGGGUGUGUACACACCGCCCGUCACCCUCUUCAAAAAUCUCAAACCAGUACUUAACUAACUAUCAAAAAUAAAGAAGAGGCAAGUCGUAACAUGGUAAGCGUACCGGAAGGUGUGCUUGGAAA
Molecule: ribosomal RNA, 519 nt
Filed under: Eleutherodactylus orientalis
Lineage: Eukaryota; Metazoa; Chordata; Amphibia; Anura; Eleutherodactylidae
Description: partial 12S ribosomal RNA
Rfam family: Bacterial small subunit ribosomal RNA
Source: RNAcentral